AGGUGAUUUCUAAAAAAAGAGAUCAGAAGAACCGGGAGAAGAUGGUGGAUCCAUCUUGGAGCGAUCGAGAAUAUUUUCGGGUAAGGCGAGAGAGAAGAGAAGAGGAAAGUGAAAUCCCUAAAAGGCAGCGUGGAAGGAAAGAGGAAAGUGUGGAAGGGAGGCAAAGAAAAAACACCUUGCUUCGUUGCCUUCGUUUUUU
Molecule: long non-coding RNA, 199 nt
Filed under: Brassica napus (rape)
Lineage: Eukaryota; Viridiplantae; Streptophyta; Magnoliopsida; Brassicales; Brassicaceae
Description: long non-coding RNA (BNAP_LNC017235)
Source: RNAcentral